GCGUCUGUAGCCAAGCGGUAUGGCAACCGGCUUUUACCCGGUAUAUCGUGAGUUCGAGUCUCGCCAGGCGCA
RNAcentral lists this transfer RNA (72 nucleotides) under Lachnospiraceae bacterium XBB2008. It matches the Rfam family "tRNA". From Rfam's summary of the family: Transfer RNA (tRNA) molecules are approximately 80 nucleotides in length. Their secondary structure includes four short double-helical elements and three loops (D, anti-codon, and T loops). Further hydrogen bonds mediate the characteristic L-shaped molecular structure. tRNAs have two regions of fundamental functional importance: the anti-codon, which is responsible for specific mRNA codon recognition, and the 3' end, to which the tRNAs corresponding amino acid is attached (by aminoacyl-tRNA synthetases). tRNAs cope with the degeneracy of the genetic code in two manners: having more than one tRNA (with a specific anti-codon) for a particular amino acid; and 'wobble' base-pairing, i.e. permitting non-standard base-pairing at the 3rd anti-codon position. The record is from Rfam by way of RNAcentral. Lineage: Bacteria; Bacillati; Bacillota; Clostridia; Lachnospirales; Lachnospiraceae.